GGGUGUGACUGCGUACCUUUUGUAUAAUGGGUCAGCGACUUAUAUUCUGUAGCAAGGUUAACCGAAUAGGGGAGCCGGAGGGAAACCGAGUCUUAACCGGGCGUUAAGUUGCAGGGUAUAGACCCGAAACCCGGUGAUCUAGCCAUGGGCAGGUUGAAGGUUGGGUAACACUAACUGGAGGACCGAACCGACUAAUGUUGAAAAAUUAGCGGAUGACCUGUGGCUGGGGGUGAAAGGCCAAUCAAACCGGGAGAUAGCUGGUUCUCCCCGAAAGCUAUUUAGGUAGCGCCUCGUGAAUUCAUCUCCGGGGGUAGAGCACUGUUUCGGCUAGGGGGCCAUCCCGGCUUACCAACCCGAUGCAAACUGCGAAUACCGGAGAAUGUUAUCACGGGAGACACACGGCGGGUGCUAACGUCCGUCGUGAAGAGGGAAACAACCCAGACCGCCAGCUAAGGUCCCAAAGUCAUGGUUAAGUGGGAAACGAUGUGGGAAGGCCCAGACAGCCAGGAUGUUGGCUUAGAAGCAGCCAUCAUUUAAAGAAAGCGUAAUAGCUCACUGGUCGAGUCGGCCUGCGCGGAAGAUGUAACGGGGCUAAACCAUGCACCGAAGCUGCGGCAGCGACACUGUGUGUUGUUGGGUAGGGGAGCGUUCUGUAAGCCUGUGAAGGUGUGUCGUGAGGCAUGCUGGAGGUAUCAGAAGUGCGAAUGCUGACAUAAGUAACGAUAAAGCGGGUGAAAAGCCCGCUCGCCGGAAGACCAAGGGUUCCUGUCCAACGUUAAUCGGGGCAGGGUGAGUCGACCCCUAAGGCGAGGCCGAAAGGCGUAGUCGAUGGGAAACGGGUUAAUAUUCCCGUACUUGGUGUUACUGCGAAGGGGGGACGGAGAAGGCUAUGUUGGCCGGGCGACGGUUGUCCCGGUUUAAGCGUGUAGGUGUGUGUUCCAGGUAAAUCCGGUUCACUUUAACACUGAGGCGUGACGACGAGGCACUACGGUGCUGAAGCAACAAAUGCCCUGCUUCCAGGAAAAGCCUCUAAGCAUCAGGUAACAUCAAAUCGUACCCCAAACCGACACAGGUGGUCAGGUAGAGAAUACCAAGGCGCUUGAGAGAACUCGGGUGAAGGAACUAGGCAAAAUGGUGCCGUAACUUCGGGAGAAGGCACGCUGACACGUAGGUGAAGUGAUUUACUCAUGGAGCUGAAGUCAGUCGAAGAUACCAGCUGGCUGCAACUGUUUAUUAAAAACACAGCACUGUGCAAACACGAAAGUGGACGUAUACGGUGUGACGCCUGCCCGGUGCCGGAAGGUUAAUUGAUGGGGUCAGCGCAAGCGAAGCUCCUGAUCGAAGCCCCGGUAAACGGCGGCCGUAACUAUAACGGUCCUAAGGUAGCGAAAUUCCUUGUCGGGUAAGUUCCGACCUGCACGAAUGGCGUAAUGAUGGCCAGGCUGUCUCCACCCGAGACUCAGUGAAAUUGAACUCGCUGUGAAGAUGCAGUGUACCCGCGGCAAGACGGAAAGACCCCGUGAACCUUUACUAUAGCUUGACACUGAACAUUGAGCCUUGAUGUGUAGGAUAGGUGGGAGGCUUUGAAGUGUGGACGCCAGUCUGCAUGGAGCCGACCUUGAAAUACCACCCUUUAAUGUUUGAUGUUCUAACGUGGACCCGUUACCCGGGUUGCGGACAGUGUCUGGUGGGUAGUUUGACUGGGGCGGUCUCCUCCUAAAGAGUAACGGAGGAGCACGAAGGUUGGCUAAUCCUGGUCGGACAUCAGGAGGUUAGUGCAAUGGCAUAAGCCAGCUUGACUGCGAGCGUGACGGCGCGAGCAGGUGCGAAAGCAGGUCAUAGUGAUCCGGUGGUUCUGAAUGGAAGGGCCAUCGCUCAACGGAUAAAAGGUACUCCGGGGAUAACAGGCUGAUACCGCCCAAGAGUUCAUAUCGACGGCGGUGUUUGGCACCUCGAUGUCGGCUCAUCACAUCCUGGGGCUGAAGUAGGUCCCAAGGGUAUGGCUGUUCGCCAUUUAAAGUGGUACGCGAGCUGGGUUUAGAACGUCGUGAGACAGUUCGGUCCCUAUCUGCCGUGGGCGCUGGAGAACUGAGGGGGGCUGCUCCUAGUACGAGAGGACCGGAGUGGACGCAUCACUGGUGUUCGGGUUGUCAUGCCAAUGGCACUGCCCGGUAGCUAAAUGCGGAAGAGAUAAGUGCUGAAAGCAUCUAAGCACGAAACUUGCCCCGAGAUGAGUUCUCCCUGAGAC
RNAcentral lists this ribosomal RNA (2248 nucleotides) under Salmonella enterica subsp. enterica serovar Enteritidis str. 648901 16-16. Its description in RNAcentral is "bacterial LSU rRNA". It matches the Rfam family "Bacterial large subunit ribosomal RNA", at positions 589 to 2821 of the family's 2925-position model. Lineage: Bacteria; Pseudomonadati; Pseudomonadota; Gammaproteobacteria; Enterobacterales; Enterobacteriaceae. The record is from RNAcentral.